GAAAGAGUUUCAGUUUUGAUUGACUUUACUUAUCGGUCAGACGUAGUAUAGCGCAUGAAUUAAUGUUAUGGAAAUAUUUAAAAACGACAGCAGUGAGAAACGCAACACGCGAAGCUAGAAACCAAUUCUCAACCAGUACCUGUUUGCGACUAAAGAGUUUAUAUAGCCAUAAAGGAACUUACAGAAGUAUGCAGUUAGCUGCCGUCAAAAAAAUAUGCGACAUAGCUGCAGAAAAAAGCAGUAGUUUGGUAACAAGCUGGCCUUUUGGAUUUACCGGUUUCUUGACAGCAACAAAUAAGCGGACAAAUAAACAACCUGAUAUCUUAAUAGGUAUUUUAACCACAUAGAUUCCUAGUGGCCUUCUGGAUAGACAAUCAAGCCGAAGCGCUGUUCAUAAUUCCAGCUCUGGGGAGUAUACUCCUCCUCCGACAUUUCCGUCGCGUUUGGAUCCAUAAGCGUUUCGUAUGUAGCGAGGCGAGGCCUGUUGUACCAGUCCUUUCGGGUUGGCAUGAGAAGUGAGCAGAAUAGACCUCCUUGUGGAGUACUGCUCCUGAUGGACCCGAAGUUGAGGCUCUUUCAACUGCCGUCUAUAUUGUCAUAGCUUUUUGUGGUGUUCUACACGGAUGCGCCAAUGAUAGUCGUAAUUGAAAGCUGGAUCAAGUACAUAUUUUUUUAUUACUGGACGGGGUAAACUCACAACCAACGACAACUAAAGUUAAGUUUCACUGUUAUA
RNAcentral lists this unclassified non-coding RNA (733 nucleotides) under Rhagoletis pomonella (apple maggot). RNAcentral's name for it is "uncharacterized LOC118742911, transcript variant X1". The record is from RNAcentral. Lineage: Eukaryota; Metazoa; Arthropoda; Insecta; Diptera; Tephritidae.